RNAcentral lists this long non-coding RNA (2884 nucleotides) under Trifolium pratense (red clover). Its description in RNAcentral is "long non-coding RNA (TPRA_LNC000095)". Lineage: Eukaryota; Viridiplantae; Streptophyta; Magnoliopsida; Fabales; Fabaceae. The record is from RNAcentral.
GAAAAUGCUAAUUUACACGAUGUCUAGGCCAAGUAUCUGUAAAUAGUAGAAGUCAGAUUUAGAAAUAUAUUUUUUAACUCUAAAAAGGAAUUUUUAUGCAAAAGUUGUAAGUUUGAAAAAAACCAAAAAAAGUUUUCUAUUUAUUUUCCAAACCAAUUGGAGAUAGCAAGAAUGGAUAUGAAACGGCGACAAGUGGAUACUGUUUCUAGUAACUUUUGUGAAUAUGAUAAUGAUUGAGUUUCUAAUCUUUUCUCCACAUUUUCAUUUUAUAAUGUCCUAACAAUUUAGGAGUUGUGUUUAUUUGUUCUGUCAUAUGCUUAUUUUAUUUUUGUUGUCUUUAUAAUAUAUAUGCAGUAUUUGAAAAUUAGCGUUAUUUGAAAGUUAGUGUUACAUAGUUUAAUAAGUUGUUUUACUUAUUUGAAAAUUUAUGAAAUAGUUUUGUUGUAUACAAGGGAAUAAAUACUAAGAUAUUGUGGAGAAGUUAAGUGUAACAGUUGCUCAAGUUGGUGAGUUAUUGACAAGUUGCUGCCUAAAUAUUCAGUUUGACACCAAAAUUUUGAAAAAGAAUUUUUCUUUCAAUGUCACAAAAAAAUGAAACCCGUAUUGGGUAAUUUAACUGUUGUUUCGGUGGCUGUUAAAUUCGAUUAGACUAAAUACACUAUAUUUUAAAUGUUGAGUUGAUAUAUUGAUCUAAAAUUUAUUUGUUGCUAUUGGGUUGAUAUUGCCGGUAGGUCCCUUUUCGGAAAAAUUAUUUUUCUUUUCAUUUUCAUGUCUAGCGAAGCGGAGUCGACAUUGUAAGAUGCUUGCAUUUGCCCGCAUGUCAUGACAUAGCGGGGUGUGGUACGUUCUAUAAUGUUGGUUCCUACAGACGCGAGGGCAUAUGAGCCGUAUCGUGGAUGUUUGUGUUUACUGGCUCAAUGUUUUUGCAUUGAACGAUUUACAUAUAAUCCUUAUCAUUUUUGAAUGUUGGCUUUGUGUCUUUGGUUCUUGUCCGUAGUUCUUUGACUUAUAAGAUGCUAUUAGAAGUGACUUGUUUUACAUAAAUCCUAUACGAUUGAUUGAUAUUGUGAUGACUCUUUGAAUUUAUACAACUUUGUCGCUUGAGUUAUUUCGUAGGUCAAAAAAAAAUGUGUUGUCCCCUUUUCCUAAACUUUGUGCCUUCUAGUGCUAAGAUUCUAAAAUUGAUGGAUUUGAUGGAUGUUUUGUUUUGGUCCAAUUAUUAUUGGCUAUAUAAGUUUUGAGAUGAUUUAACUUUUGUGCCAAUGACCCUUAAGUCCAAUUGCAACUGGCCAUAUAAAUUUGGAGAUGUUCAAAUGUUGCAUCGAAGACCCUAGUGUCCUAGUGCUAUUCUAAGAUGGUUAUAUGUGGUCUCCAUCACUUAAAUUCAAUUGAUAUAGAAAUAUACAUUAUUUUGACAUGGUUAUGUGUUGCCCCGAUAACGCUUAAGUCCGAUUGUUACCGACUAUAUAUAUUCAGAGAUGGUUAGAUGUUCCUUCGAUGGCCUCUAAGUACGAGAUUUUAUUCGUUGCCUCAAUGACCACUUAAAGUCCAAUAAAAUUUUAGAUGCUUAGAUGUUUUCUUGACAUGUUCAAUAAAUUUUUAUAUGGUUAUAUGUUGGCCCGAUGACCCAAAGGUAAACUGCUAUUGGCUAUGAUAAUUAUCUUAAGAUAGUUAAAUGUUGUCUGGAUGACUUUUAUUGGUUGCAUAAACAUAGAUGGUGAAAUAUUGUCUCGAUGCAGUUUAAUCCACUUGUCAAGGCAAGUUCACUUCCUUUUUGUUGGCAUUUUUGUUUUAUUUCAAUUUUAAAUUUUAUCAUGUACUAAUCUUUGUUUUUUAACAGGUUACGUUGAGACUUAGAACUGACGUGAAAGAGAAAAUUGCAUAAUUAACAUUGAUGUCUUAUGCUCGAAAAAUGUACCAAUUUUUCUCGAUAAUUAAAAUGCACUCAAUCCUCUGCCUAAAAUUCAGUUUGACACCAAAAUCUUGAAAAAUAAUUUUUCUUUCAAUAUGUCACCAAAAAAAAAAAGGUAAACUCGUAUUGGGUAAUUUAAAUAUUGUUUCGGUGACUUUUCAUUCGAUUAGACCAAAUACACUCUAUUUUAAAUGUUGAUGUUAUAUAUUGAUCUAAAAUGUAUUUGUUUCUAUUGGGUUCAUAUUGCCGGUAGGUCCUUUUUCGGUAAAAAUGUUUUUCUUUUCAUUUUCAUGCCUAGCGAAGCGGAGUCGACGUUGUAAGAUGCUUCCAUUUGCCCGCAUGUCAUGGCAUAGCCGGGUGUGGUAUGUUCUACAAUGUUGGUUCCUACAGACGCGAGGGCAUAUGAGCGGUAUCGUGGAUAUUUGUGUUUACUGACUCAAUGUUUUUGCAUUGAACGAUUUACAUAUAAUCCUUAUCAUUUUUGAAUGUUGACUGUCUUUGGUUCUUGUCCGUAGUUCCUCUUUGACUUAGAAGAUGUUAUAGAAGUGACUUGUUUUACAUAAAUCCUAUACGAUUGAUUGAUAUUGUGAUGACUUUUUAAAUUUAUACAACUUUGUCGCUUGAGUUAUUUCGUAGGUCAAAAAAAAUGUGUUGUCCCCUUUUCCUAAACUUUGUGCCUUCUAUUGCUAAGAUUCUAAAAUUGAUGGAUUUGAAGGAUGUUUUGGUCCAAUUGUUAUUGGCUAUAUAAGUUUUGAGAUGAUUUAACUUUUGUGUCGAUGACCCUUAAGUCCAAUUGCAACUGGCCAUAUAAAUNNNNNNNNNNNNNNNNNNNNNNNNNNNNNNNNNNNNNNNNNNNNNNNNNNNNNNNNNNNNNNNNNNNNNNNNNNNNNNNNNNNNNNNNNNNNNNNNNNNNNAAAUGUUGCAUCGAUGACCCUAGUGUCCUAGUGCUAUUCUAAGAUGGUUAUAUGUGGC